RNAcentral lists this transfer RNA (75 nucleotides) under Actinomycetes bacterium. RNAcentral describes it as "Actinobacteria bacterium tRNA-Pro". It matches the Rfam family "tRNA". Rfam says of the family: Transfer RNA (tRNA) molecules are approximately 80 nucleotides in length. Their secondary structure includes four short double-helical elements and three loops (D, anti-codon, and T loops). RNAcentral also lists the same sequence under 2 other names. The record is from RNAcentral. Lineage: Bacteria; Bacillati; Actinomycetota; Actinomycetes.
CGGGGCGUAGCUCAGCCUGGUUAGAGCGCCGCGUUUGGGACGCGGAGGUCGCCGGUUCAAAUCCGGCCGCCCCGA